Varroa destructor (honeybee mite) is the source of this 867-nucleotide long non-coding RNA. NCBI's taxonomy places the organism in Eukaryota, Metazoa, Arthropoda, Arachnida, Mesostigmata, Varroidae. The record is from RefSeq and is a predicted model, not a curated record.
CCCACCAAUAACCCAGUGUUCAAGGAAUUCGUAGCAAUAGGAGAAAUCAUCGAAGCCCAGAGACGUUAGGUCGAAGAUAGGCGAAGUGAAUGACCAAGCUGCAAGCGUCUGGCGAAGCGUUUGGCAGGCCGUAUGAAAGGAGUCUCCUUGCGGCUAAAACUAACAUGUCUUAGUUACUUGAGCCGUCAACAAUGGAUCAGACUUUGGGGAACUCUAACCGUCAGACAAUGUGGGCGAACAGAUCAAGUUUCAGACGGCUCAGGCAGAAGUCAUGAUCAUAUCUUGUCACCCUAGGAAAGCAGGUGGACAUGGAGGCAUUCAAGGAACUGUUUGAAAACUAAAGGCCAAGGGAUUACGGCAUCCACAAUUGAAAAUCGGUCGAAAGGCAUGUUGAAGUAUGCGCGCAUGAGUUUCAGGAGCCAAGAGCAAAGAUCCGGUUUGAACAAAUAACAUACAUGCUGUAGCGCUUGAAAGACUGUGCUAGAGUGUCGAAGAUAAUUGCACAACGUCGCAGUAGCAAACCUCAGACGGCUGUUAAUCGUAUGUCAACGCACGCCUGAAGGACUAGCACUAUAUCGCACGUUGCUAUGCAUAUAUAAGCAGGACGGUUGAAUGUUACGAUUGCAGCUCAACCAUCUACGCCUUGUAACUCGUACCGUGGUCGACCUGUGAGAAGAAAGUUUGCGCGGCCUGACAAGUCUCCAUCCUCUCGUCAUUAUUGGGGAACUUUAUCGGCCCGCCAUCUCAACUGGCUAAUUAUUUUAUCUAUAGCCAACGUUCUAUGUGGGAGCUCACAGUUUCUUGAAAACAGACUUACCCGAUCUCCAGUCUAAUCUUUCUUGUUUGUUCCAAUUGAGAAGGCAUUCG